UCUGUUUAAAUAUAGAAACUCUGGAGCAUUUUAUUAUAAAAGAAUAGUGCUUGAAAGCUCCUUAAAGAGGUAACUACAAGAGUGACUAUACGAAGAAGAUGCUAUGAUUAACAAUAGCAGCUUAAAGUCAUUUCUGCAGCUUUGGAAAUUGUUCCCCAAGUCAAACAGCAGUACAUAUUGGCAAUAAGUUAAAGGACUGUCUUUCCUGUGAGUGCAGAAUACCAGCAGUUCUCAUCUUGCUCCCAGCUACCUGUUUCUGAAGCUCAGGUCCAGAGCAUCCACGGAGACUAGCAUAUCUGAAAUACAUCAUGAAAACAACAUUUUGAGAUGCAAAAUGGUAGAAAACUCAAAUUCCCACAGAAUCCAGUUUGUGGAGGAAUACACAAUGAAUUUUCCCAGUGCAUCCCAGAAUGGAAGUCUAUCUUAAAGGAGAAUUUGAUGUCCUUGUUCAAUCUGAAGACACAAAGUCUAUAGUAGGUGAAUUCUACUUCAUAGUGUAUUAAACCACUGGUAAGUUAUUUACUCCUUUUUAUCCUUCCAUUCUGAACUUAGUGUGAGGAUUAAGGCAAAU
This is a non-coding RNA of Vicugna pacos (alpaca), 571 nucleotides long. The record is from RefSeq and is a predicted model, not a curated record. Lineage: Eukaryota; Metazoa; Chordata; Mammalia; Artiodactyla; Camelidae.